UGUCUAGUCUGUACUGACGCUGAGGCUCGAAGCAUGGGUAGCGAACAGGAUUAGAUACCUGGUAGUCCAUGCCGUAAACGAUGAGUGCUAAGUGUUGGAGGGUUCCGCCCUUCAGUGCUGCAGCUAACGCAUUAAGCACUCCGCUGGGGAGUACGACCGCAAGGUUGAAACUCAAAGGAAUUGACGGGGGCCCGCACAAGCGGUGGAGCAUGUGUUAAUUCGAAGCUACGCGAAGAACCUUACCAGGUCUUGACAUCUUCUGCCAAUCUUAGAGAUAAGACGUUCCCUUCGGGGACAGAAUGACAGGUGGUGCAUGGUUGUCGUCAGCUCGUGUCGUGAGAUGUUGGGUUAAGUCCCGCAACGAGCGCAACCCUUAUUAUCAGUUGCCAGCAUUCAGUUGGGCACUCUGGUGAGACUGCCGGUGACAAACCGGAGGAAGGUGGGGAUGACGUCAAAUCAUCAUGCCCCUUAUGACCUGGGCUACACACGUGCUACAAUGGACGGUACAACGAGUCGCGAAGUCGUGAGGCUAAGCUAAUCUCUUAAAGCCGUUCUCAGUUCGGAUUGUAGGCUGCAACUCGCCUACAUGAAGUUGGAAUCGCUAGUAAUCGCGGAUCAGCAUGCCGCGGUGAAUACGUUCCCGGGCCUUGUACACACCGCCCGUCACACCAUGAGAGUUUGUAACACCCAAAGCCGGUGAGAUAACCUUCGGGAGUCAGCCGUCUAAGGUGGGACAGAUGAUUAGGGUGAAGUCGUAACAAGGUAACCA
RNAcentral lists this ribosomal RNA (769 nucleotides) under uncultured Lactobacillus sp. RNAcentral describes it as "bacterial SSU rRNA". It matches the Rfam family "Bacterial small subunit ribosomal RNA", at positions 726 to 1502 of the family's 1533-position model. Lineage: Bacteria; Bacillati; Bacillota; Bacilli; Lactobacillales; Lactobacillaceae. The record is from RNAcentral.